GUUUCGAUGACUGAUUAUAUGGACUCAUUUCAGAUUGAGCCUUUAGUUUCAGUUGUCGUGCCUGAUCCUGUAGAUAUUUGGUAGAGGACCUAGGGUCGGACUUUCCGUUGGUGCAUUCUGAGCCGGAAGUACGAUUGAUGGAGACUAGCUAUGGGAAUCACUUCACGCUUGUACAGGAAGAGUUCAUUGAAGAGUGUCCUGCUGCAGCUAUUAAUACUGCCACUUGCGAACCAGUCAUGCAGAUCACUGAAUGUGAUCUUGAAUUACCAAUGCCUAUCUUGACUGGUCGCAGUGAUCGGGUUUCACUCGAAAAGCUGCAAUGCACUGUGGAUGCUAUUCUACCAACUCAUGCCC
This 354-nucleotide small RNA is filed under the name Grapevine line pattern virus. Its description in RNAcentral is "non-coding circular RNA". The record is from RNAcentral. Lineage: Riboviria; Orthornavirae; Kitrinoviricota; Alsuviricetes; Martellivirales; Bromoviridae.